UCAGGACGAACGCUGGCGGCGUGCCUAAUACAUGCAAGUCGAACGGUCUUUCUAUGGAAGCUUGCUUCCACUGAGAAGAUAGUGGCGAACGGGUGAGUAACACGUGGGUAACCUGCCCAUAAGAGGGGGGAUAACAUCCGGAAACGGGUGCUAAUACCGCAUAGUUUUCUUGAUCGCAUGAUCGGGAAAGGAAAGACGGCCUUUGUGCUGUCGCUUAUGGAUGGACCCGCGGCGUAUUAGUUAGUUGGUGAGGUAACGGCUCACCAAGACGAUGAUACGUAGCCGACCUGAGAGGGUGAUCGGCCACAUUGGGACUGAGACACGGCCCAAACUCCUACGGGAGGCAGCAGUAGGGAAUCUUCCGCAAUGGACGAAAGUCUGACGGAGCAACGCCGCGUGAGUGAAGAAAGGUUUUCGGAUCGUAAAACUCUGUUGUCAGAGAAGAACAAGUUGGAGAGUAACUGCUCCAGCCUUGACGGUAUCUGACCAGAAAGCCACGGCUAACUACGUGCCAGCAGCGGC
This 522-nucleotide ribosomal RNA is filed under the name uncultured bacterium. RNAcentral's name for it is "bacterial SSU rRNA". It matches the Rfam family "Bacterial small subunit ribosomal RNA", at positions 24 to 518 of the family's 1533-position model. The record is from RNAcentral.